Molecule: ribosomal RNA, 440 nt
Filed under: uncultured bacterium
Lineage: Bacteria
Description: partial 16S ribosomal RNA
Rfam family: Bacterial small subunit ribosomal RNA
Source: RNAcentral
CCUACGGGAGGCAGCAGUGGGGGAUAUUGCACAAUGGGGGAAACCCUGAUGCAGCGACGCCGCGUGAGUGAAGAAGGAUUUCGGUAUGUAAAGCUCUAUCAGCAGGGAAGAAAAUGACAGUAACUGACCAAGAAGCCCCGGCGAACUACGUGCCAGCAGCCGCGGUAAUACGUAGGGGGCAAGCGUUAGCCUGAUUUACGGGGUGGAAAGGGAGCGGAGACGGGUAUGUAAGUCUGGAGUGAAAGCCCGGGGCCCAACCCCGGGACUGCUUUGGAAACUGUGUAACUGGAGUACAGGAGGGGCAGGCGUACUUCCUGUUGUAGCGGUGAACUGCGUAGAUAUCAGGCGGAACACCGGCGGCGACGGCGGCCUGCUGGACUGCAACUGACGUUGAGGCUCGACAGCGUGGGGAGCAAACAGGAUUAGAUACCCUAGUAGUC